This 400-nucleotide ribosomal RNA is filed under the name uncultured archaeon. Its description in RNAcentral is "bacterial SSU rRNA". It matches the Rfam family "Archaeal small subunit ribosomal RNA", at positions 330 to 728 of the family's 1478-position model. The record is from RNAcentral.
GCGCAGCAGGCGCGAAUCCUCUGCAAUAGGCGAAAGCUUGACAGGGUUACUCUGAGUGAUUUCCGUUAAGGAGAUCUUUGGCACCUCUAAAAAUGGUGCAGAAUAAGGGGUGGGCAAGUCUGGUGUCAGCCGCCGCGGUAAUACCAGCGACCCCGAGUGGUCGGGACGAUUAUUGGGCCUAAAGCAUCCGUAGCCGGUUACUACAAGUCUUCCGUUAAAAUCCAACCUGCUCAACAGAUGGGCUGCGGAAGAUACCUAUGGAGCUAGGAGGCGGGAGAGGCAAGCGGUACUCAGUGGGUAGGGGUAAAAUCCGUUGAUCCAUUGAAGACCACCAGUGGCGAAGGCGGCUUGCCAGAACGCGCUCGACGGUGAGGGAUGAAAGCUGGGGGAGCAAAACCGG